CCCAACUUGAAAAUCUCCCUUUGGAGAAUUGUAGUCUAGAGAAGCGCCCUCUGCGGCGGCCGGAGCCUAAGUCCGUUGGAAAACGGCGUCAGAGAGGGUGAGAACCCCGUCGGCUCUAGGCUUAGCUGCUCCACGAGGUGCUUUCCACGAGUCGGGUUGUUUGGGAAUGCAGCCCAAAAUGGGAGGUACAUCCCUUCUAAGGCUAAAUACUGGCGAGAGACCGAUAGCGAACAAGUACCGUGAGGGAAAGAUGAAAAGAACUUUGAAAAGAGAGUUAAAAAGUGCUUGAAAUUGUUGAGAGGGAAGCGUUUGGAGGUUAUAGGUGCGCCUAGGCUUAUACGGUUCUAACGAGCCGUUGUAUGUGCUAGGUGCUGGUCAACAUGGGUUAGCUUGGCGGGAUAACAGCGGGGGUUGAUACCCCGUCUAUGCCGCCGGGUUGAUCAAGGUGUGAAUGGCGCUCUGUCCUUCGGGAACUGC
This 477-nucleotide ribosomal RNA is filed under the name Dunaliella salina. RNAcentral's name for it is "partial large subunit ribosomal RNA". It matches the Rfam family "Eukaryotic large subunit ribosomal RNA", at positions 108 to 598 of the family's 3401-position model. Lineage: Eukaryota; Viridiplantae; Chlorophyta; Chlorophyceae; Chlamydomonadales; Dunaliellaceae. The record is from RNAcentral.